CAGGUGACAGAACUGUAGUUCUUAAUGCUACAUCAUCAGUGAAAGAAAACUCUGCAAGCAGCUAGAAUAAAGGUCAAGGUUGAUGACUCUGAUUAGAGAACACCUGAAUGGAAAUAUAACUUUUGGGAGAUGAAGGGAGUACCUCUAAGAAUUGAGAUUGGACCUCGUGAUGUGUCUACUGGGACUGUGGUCAUUUCCAGAAGAGAUAUUCCCGGAAAAAAAGGAAAAGAUUUCGGGAUAUUAAUGGAUUCUUCAAUUUUGGUUGCUUAUGUUUAAGGGUUGUUGGAUGGGAUUCAUAGUUGCCUGCUGGAGAGGGCAACCACUUUCAUGAGCUUUUUUUUUUUUGGAAUUUUAAUUAAACCUGUCCUUCAAGACAUUGGUUCUUUUCUUUUGUAAACUUUAAUUACUGGUAGAUUGUUAGCUAA
Molecule: long non-coding RNA, 425 nt
Organism: Coffea eugenioides
Lineage: Eukaryota; Viridiplantae; Streptophyta; Magnoliopsida; Gentianales; Rubiaceae
Exons: 2
Source: RefSeq, a predicted model, not a curated record